CAUGUGCACGCUCUGUUUGCACAUCCACUCACACCUGUGCACCCUCUGUAGUUCUAUGGCCUGGGGGACUCUGUUCUCCUGUGCUGUGGUUCUAUAUCUUUACACACACACACUAUAAUAAAGUCUUAUGGAAUGUAUGCCGCGUUUAACGCAAUACAAUACAACUUUCAGCAACGGAUCUCUUGGCUCUCGCAUCGAUGAAGAACGCAGCGAAAUGCGAUAAGUAAUGUGAAUUGCAGAAUUCAGUGAAUCAUCGAAUCUUUGAACGCACCUUGCGCCCUUUGGCUAUUCCGAAGGGCAUGCCUGUUUGAGUAUCAUAAACACCUCAACUCUCGUGGUUUGCCAUGAUGAGCUUGGACUUUGGGGGUCUUGCUGGCCUGCAGUCAGCUCCCCUCAAAUGAAUCAGCUUGCCAGUGUCUGGUGGCAUCACAAGUGUGAUAACUAUCUACGCUUGUGGUCUUCUGCCAGAUGACCUUCAGCGAUGGAGGUCCACUGGAGCUCAUAAAU
This 507-nucleotide ribosomal RNA is filed under the name uncultured fungus. RNAcentral describes it as "eukaryotic LSU rRNA". The stretch from base 163 to 317 matches the Rfam family "5.8S ribosomal RNA". The record is from RNAcentral. Lineage: Eukaryota; Fungi.